RNAcentral lists this ribosomal RNA (481 nucleotides) under uncultured bacterium. Its description in RNAcentral is "partial 16S ribosomal RNA". It matches the Rfam family "Bacterial small subunit ribosomal RNA", at positions 28 to 507 of the family's 1533-position model. The record is from RNAcentral.
GAUGAACGCUGGCGGCGUGCUUAACACAUGCAAGUCGAACGAAGCACUUUAUUUGAUUUCCUUCGGGACUGAUUAUUUUGUGACUGAGUGGCGGACGGGUGAGUAACGCGUGGGUAACCUGCCUUGUACAGGGGGAUAACAGUUGGAAACGGCUGCUAAUACCGCAUAAGCGCACGGCAUCGCAUGAUUCAGUGUGAAAAACUCCGGUGGUAUAAGAUGGACCCGCGUUGGAUUAGCUAGUUGGUGAGGUAACGGCCCACCAAGGCGACGAUCCAUAGCCGACCUGAGAGGGUGACCGGCCACAUUGGGACUGAGACACGGCCCAAACUCCUACGGGAGGCAGCAGUGGGGAAUAUUGCACAAUGGGCGAAAGCCUGAUGCAGCGACGCCGCGUGAGCGAAGAAGUAUUUCGGUAUGUAAAGCUCUAUCAGCAGGGAAGAUAAUGACGGUACCUGACGAAGAAGCACCGGCUAAAUACGUG